Molecule: ribosomal RNA, 440 nt
Filed under: uncultured Leptolinea sp.
Lineage: Bacteria; Bacillati; Chloroflexota; Anaerolineae; Anaerolineales; Anaerolineaceae
Description: bacterial SSU rRNA
Rfam family: Bacterial small subunit ribosomal RNA
Source: RNAcentral
CCUACGGGGGGCUGCAGUAGGGAAUAUUGGUAAUCUGGGAAACCGGGAACCAGCAACGCCGCGUGCACGAUGAAGGCCUUCGGGUCGUAAAGUGCUUUUUGAAGGGAUGAGGAAGGACAGUACCUUCAGAAUAAGCCUCGGCUAACUACGUGCCAGCAGCCGCGGUAAAACGUAGGAGGCGAGCGUUAUCCGGAUUUACUGGGCGUAAAGCGUGUGUAGGCGGUUUGAUAAGUUGGAUGUGAAAGCUCCCGGCUCAACUGGGAGAGGUCGUUCAAAACUAUCAGACUAGAGAGUGGUAGAGGGAGGUGGAAUUCCGCGUGUAGUGGUGAAAUGCGUAGAUAUGCGGAGGAACACCAGUGGCGAAAGCGGCCUCCUGGCCCAUUUCUGACGCUCAGACACGAAAGCUAGGGUAGCAAACGGGCUUAGAUACCCGAGUAGUC